Non-coding RNA from Ameiurus melas (black bullhead), 73 nucleotides. The record is from the annotation of a GenBank genome assembly. Lineage: Eukaryota; Metazoa; Chordata; Actinopteri; Siluriformes; Ictaluridae.
AGCACAGUGGCUUAGUGGUUAGCACGUUCAACUCACACCUUCAGUGUCGGGGGUUCGAUUCCCACCGGGGCCC